ACUGUUGAGAGUGCAAGGCUCAGCCAGGUGGUGGGGACACCUUGAGUGAGGUGGACUUGCUGGGAGCUUGGGACUGGGGGAAAGGGUGCUGCGGCAGGGUCUCAUAGAAGGUAGACCCUCGUCGGUACUAAGGACGCACCGGAGAGGACUGGAGGUCUGGGAGGGGGGCCUGAGCCCUGCCCGAGGAGCGGGCCAUAAAUGAAAACUAUGCACAUUCAAGGAAAAUGCAACUAAUUGCAACACAAACUAUCCAAGACAUCUGGUGCAUCACGUUGGUCUGGAGGCACAUGAGCAAAAGGAGCUUCCAACUGUGUGGGGAAAAAUCAGUUAUGUUCCCAAGAGAUGUAAGAAGAGGAGCAGAGAACAGGCCGCAAGAUAAUCUAUAAAAGGCUUCCCUCUGGCAUGACUAAGAGGAAUCGGAGGAAGGGGGCCUGGCUGCUGGCUGCUGGAAUCAGAGGAAGGGGGCCUGGCAGAGCAGGUAUGUUUUCCUGAGUGCCCAGGCCCAGGCCCAGGCACAACCCAAGUGGGAACUGAGGCCUGAGGGGCAGAUUGUUCAGGCCCAGUCCUCUAGGGCUCAGGGGUCCAGGAGGGGCCCCUGCCCUGACCAGAGAAGGCUUAUGCCAGGGAACUGGGUAGCCCCGGUAUCCUACGGUAGUGAGGAGAAACUUUUUGAGCAGCCAGUGUCUGGUGUGGGCCCACCCCAGAGCCCCUAAGAGGCACAUGCCUGCCUGUAACAGGUAUGGGAUUCACAUGGACUUGAGGGAAGGAGGAUUGAGGGAAUGGAAGUGAUAGGCCAUGGGCCACAGUCUAGGGAGUGGCAGUGGUCCUGGGAAGACUCUCUGGAUGAAUGGGAAUUGGGUAGGACCUGUACCCACAAGAGGGGUUGGGAGACAGUGGUAGUGGGGGUCUUGAAGAAGAGGAGACAAAAGGACAGGUCAGAGGGGAAUGUGGAGACAUUGAGUAGCCUAUGCAGGUGAGUGGUCAGUGUGCAUACAGACUGUGGUGGGAUACUGCUUGCAAUCCAUUACCAAAAAAACACUACUUAGAACUGAAUUUUUGUCUCCUUCCUCUCUCCCUCAGGAAUAUUACUCUCAUCCUUGUAGUUCCUGGGUUGUCCGAGCAGGGCCCUUUUAGCCCAGAUACCUCGAUGGUGGGGGAAAAAAAAAAAAAAAAAGCAACAUCUGCUUCCCUUCUCCCAAAAUCAAUACCCCUGUUCAGGCGGUCCCCAGUCACUGCUCCCCACCUACCUGACC
Long non-coding RNA from Felis catus (domestic cat), 1253 nucleotides. RefSeq lists it as uncharacterized. The transcript is spliced from 3 exons. NCBI's taxonomy places the organism in Eukaryota, Metazoa, Chordata, Mammalia, Carnivora, Felidae. The record is from RefSeq and is a predicted model, not a curated record.